Maylandia zebra (zebra mbuna) is the source of this 526-nucleotide long non-coding RNA. RefSeq lists it as uncharacterized. The record is from RefSeq and is a predicted model, not a curated record. NCBI's taxonomy places the organism in Eukaryota, Metazoa, Chordata, Actinopteri, Cichliformes, Cichlidae.
GCCGCAGGUGUCCGGUUGUCUUCAUUCUCCGCCAGCCUGGAUCCGCUCCAGGUCAACUGGAACGGAUGGGAGGACAUCGGCCGUGGUCUGAGUGAACGGAGUUUGGACAAAAGCUGUGUGCACACAAAAACAAGGUAAGCAGACCUUUUAUUUCUGCUAUAUUGAACAUUAUAAAAAUACUUAGUGUCCAAACUCCUAGUAAUUCAUAACCAAAAUUGUCUGGCUUACUUAAGGCUUGUUGAGAAUCAGACAAGUGAAUAAGAGAUAAGUGAAUAAGAAAUAAGUGAAUAAGUGAAUAAAGAUAAGAGUGAACUGAGGUCUGACCACGGUUGCAGCCGACGGGUUGCUCUCCGGUGUCGGAUAAAUACCUCAGUGCAGGUCUGGGACCUUGAAAGGGUUUAUUAGUAACGCCUUUCUAAACAAAUUAAAAGGUUAAAGGCCUUGAGAAUAUUUUUUAGUAAUAUUCUCUAAACUACAGAAGGGUUAGGAAGGCCCAGAGGACUUUAUUAGAAAAGAUCCUCUAAAA